CUCGGCGGGAUCUCCCGGCAGGAUGGGUAAAAAGAUAAAGAAGGAAGUAGAGCCUCCUCCUAAGGAUGUGUUUGACCCAUUAAUUAUUGAAAGCAAAAAAGCAGCAACUGUGGUGUUAAUGCUUAAUUCUCCAGAAGAGGAAAUUUUGGCUAAAGCAUGUGAAGCCAUUUAUAAAUUUGCUUUAAAAGGUGAGGAAAAUAAAACAACCCUCCUUGAACUUGGAGCUGUGGAACCUUUAACUAAGCUACUCACCCAUGAAGACAAAAUUGUAAGAAGAAAUGCUACUAUGAUAUUUGGAAUCCUGGCUUCUAAUAAUGACGUUAAAAAAUUGUUAAGGGAGUUAGAUGUCAUGAAUUCUGUCAUUGCCCAGCUUGCUCCAGAAGAAGAAGUAGUUAUCCAUGAGUUUGCUAGUCUUUGUCUAGCAAACAUGUCUGCAGAGUACACCAGUAAAGUGCAAAUAUUUGAACAUGGGGGAUUAGAGCCACUCAUCAGACUACUGAGUAGCCCCGACCCGGAUGUAAAGAAGAACUCUAUGGAAUGCAUUUACAACUUGGUGCAGGUGUUAUUACAAAUGAUAAGGAGUCUCGAAUAAUGCUAAGAGACAAUCAAGGAUUGGACCAUCUUAUUAAGAUCC
RNAcentral lists this small RNA (634 nucleotides) under Pan troglodytes (chimpanzee). RNAcentral's name for it is "processed transcript". The record is from RNAcentral. Lineage: Eukaryota; Metazoa; Chordata; Mammalia; Primates; Hominidae.